AAUAGAUACCCGGGUAGUCCACGCCCUAAACGAUGUCAACUAGCUGUUGGGGUCUUCGGACCUUGGUAGCGCAGCUAACGCGUGAAGUUGACCGCCUGGGGAGUACGGUCGCAAGAUUAAAACUCAAAGGAAUUGACGGGGACCCGCACAAGCGGUGGAUGAUGUGGAUUAAUUCGAUGCAACGCGAAAAACCUUACCUACCCUUGACAUGUCUGGAAUCCCGAAGAGAUUUGGGAGUGCUCGCAAGAGAACCGGAACACAGGUGCUGCAUGGCUGUCGUCAGCUCGUGUCGUGAGAUGUUGGGUUAAGUCCCGCAACGAGCGCAACCCUUGUCAUUAGUUGCUACGAAAGGGCACUCUAAUGAGACUGCCGGUGACAAACCGGAGGAAGGUGGGGAUGACGUCAAGUCCUCAUGGCCCUUAUGGGUAGGGCUUCACACGUCAUACAAUGGUCGGGACAGAGGGUCGCCAACCCGCGAGGGGGAGCCAAUCCCAGAAACCCGAUCGUAGUCCGGAUCGCAGUCUGCAACUCGACUG
Molecule: ribosomal RNA, 536 nt
Filed under: uncultured bacterium
Lineage: Bacteria
Description: bacterial SSU rRNA
Rfam family: Bacterial small subunit ribosomal RNA
Source: RNAcentral